RNAcentral lists this ribosomal RNA (301 nucleotides) under uncultured bacterium. RNAcentral describes it as "partial 16S ribosomal RNA". It matches the Rfam family "Bacterial small subunit ribosomal RNA", at positions 509 to 809 of the family's 1533-position model. The record is from RNAcentral.
CAGUCGCCGCGGUAAUACGAAGGGGGCUAGCGUUGCUCGGAAUGACUGGGCGUAAAGGGCGCGUAGGCGGUUUGUAUAGUUGGAUGUGAAAUUCCUGGGCUUAACCUGGGGGCUGCAUUCAAUACGUGCAGGCUUGAGUGUGGAAGAGGGUUGUGGAAUUCCCAGUGGAGAGGUGAGAUUCGUAGAUAUUGGGAAGAACACCGGUGGCGAAGGCGGCAACCUGGUCCAUUACUGACGCUGAGGCGCGAAAGCGUGGGGAGCAAACAGGAUUAGAUACCCCUGUAGUCCCUGUCUCUUAUAU